UACGUAGGGUGCGAGCGUUAAUCGGAAUUACUGGGCGUAAAGCGUGCGCAGGCGGUUCGUUAAGUCAGAUGUGAAAGCCCCGGGCUCAACCUGGGAACUGCAUUUGAAACUGGCGGGCUUGAGUGUGGCAGAGGGGGGUGGAAUUCUCGGUGUAGCGGUGAAAUGCGUAGAUAUCGAGAGGAACACCUGCGGCGAAGGCGGGUAGCUGGGCCGACACUGACGCUGAGGCGCGAAAGCCAGGGGAGCGAACGGG
This 253-nucleotide ribosomal RNA is filed under the name uncultured bacterium. Its description in RNAcentral is "partial 16S ribosomal RNA". It matches the Rfam family "Bacterial small subunit ribosomal RNA", at positions 524 to 776 of the family's 1533-position model. The record is from RNAcentral.